CGGUAAAACUCGUGCCAGCCACCGCGGUUAAACGAGAAAGCCCAAGUUGAUAGUAUACGGCGCAAAGGGUGGUUAAGAAAGAUGAAAAAUAAAGUUAAACUAACUCAUUACCCUGAUAAGCCUACAUGAUAAAAUGAAGCCCAACCACGAAAGUGACUUUAAUUGAUCCGAAUCCACGAAAGCUAAGAAACAAACUGGGAUUAGAUACCCCACUAUG
This 217-nucleotide ribosomal RNA is filed under the name Oligoplites saurus (leatherjack). Its description in RNAcentral is "partial small subunit ribosomal RNA". Lineage: Eukaryota; Metazoa; Chordata; Actinopteri; Carangiformes; Carangidae. The record is from RNAcentral.